RNAcentral lists this ribosomal RNA (483 nucleotides) under Triticum aestivum (bread wheat). Its description in RNAcentral is "partial small subunit ribosomal RNA". The record is from RNAcentral. Lineage: Eukaryota; Viridiplantae; Streptophyta; Magnoliopsida; Poales; Poaceae.
AUGGGCUGCCUGGCCCACGCAGCGGAUGGCGGUGGUUCGAGCAACUCCUCGACGCAGGGGAAAAGAUUGGCGGCGCUGGAGUUCGCCGGAACGGGCAGGCGGCCGGUGGGUGACGCGAGGCCGCGGCGCCGGCGCGAGGAAGACGAGCGGAUCCGGCUGCUGCUGGCGCGGCGGCUUGCUCCGGUGGCGGCGGCGUCCUGCUCAUCCGUAGAAAGAGAGACAGGGCGUGAGGGAGAGAGGAAGAAAGGAGAGGGAGAAGGGGGCGCAGGGUCAGGGAGGCGGUCGAUAGCGGUGGCGGCUCCGGCGACCGGCCGACGGGCUUGCCAGACUAGACAGCAGACCAAGGCCAUGGAUCGGUUGAUUCAACAGGGAAGGAAGAGACAGCAGAUUAUAAAACGAGCUUGGGGAUUAAUUGUCCUGAAACUUAAACAGGGCCGCCCUGAUGAUGGACUCAAGCUCCAGAAUCAAGACAUGCCACUGUAG